Molecule: RNA transcript, 6691 nt
Organism: Equus quagga
Lineage: Eukaryota; Metazoa; Chordata; Mammalia; Perissodactyla; Equidae
Gene: SLC19A2
Gene name: solute carrier family 19 member 2
Exons: 10
Source: RefSeq, a predicted model, not a curated record
CCGCGCGGCGGGCGGCCCCGCGUGAGGCGCCGGCGCAAGGGAAGGCUGGGGGCUUGGCGGCCCCAGGCGGCGGCGAGCCCAGAACGGCCCGGCCCCACAGAAAGGAGGCGCCUGCGCUAGGGCAGCGCCUGAACCUCACUCCAGGUGGCAGAGGAGGAAAAGGAGAAGGAAGGGGCCGGGCCGGGUCCCCGCCCCUCGCGCUCCGGAUGGAAGUGCCGGGCCCGGUGUCCCGGCGGGCGGCGGCUGCGGCGGCGGCCACCAUGCUCCUGCGCACAGCUCGGGUCCCUCGUGAGUGCUGGUUCUUGCCCACCGCGCUGCUCUGCGCCUACGGCUUCUUCGCCAGCCUCAGGCCGUCCGAGCCGUUCCUGACUCCCUACCUGCUGGGGCCCGACAAGAACCUAACCGAGAGGGAGGUCUUCAAUGAAAUUUAUCCAGUGUGGACUUACUCUUACCUGGUGCUGCUGUUUCCUGUGUUCCUUGCCACAGACUACCUCCGUUAUAAACCUGUUGUUCUGCUGCAGGGACUCAGCCUUAUUGUUACAUGGUUCAUGCUGCUCUAUGCCCAGGGACUGCUGGCUGUUCAGUUCUUGGAAUUCUUCUAUGGCGUCGCCACAGCCACUGAAAUUGCCUAUUACUCAUAUAUCUAUAGUGUGGUAGACUUGAGCAUGUACCAGAAAGUCACAAGUUACUGUCGAAGUGCCACCUUGGUGGGCUUCACAGUAGGCUCUGUCCUAGGGCAAAUCCUUGUCUCGGUGGCAGGCUGGUCCUUGUUUAGCCUGAAUGUCAUCUCUCUUACCUGUGUUUCUGUGGCUUUUGCUGUGGCCUGGUUUCUGCCUAUGCCACAGAAGAGCCUUUUCUUUCACCACGUUCCUUCUGCCUGCCAGGGAAUGAAUGGCAUCAAGGUACAAAAUGGCGGCAUGGUUACUGACACCUCAGCUUCUAACCACCUUCCUGGGUGGGAGGACAUUGAGUCCAAAAUCCCUUUAAAUGUGGAGGAGCGUCCCAUGGAGGAGCCGGAACCCAAGCCAGACCAUCUCCUUGUGCUGAGGGUACUGUGGAAUGACUUCUCUGUGUGCUACUCCUCUCGCCCUCUGCUCUGCUGGUCCGUGUGGUGGGCCCUCUCCACUUGUGGCUAUUUUCAAGUUGUGAACUACACACAGGGCCUGUGGGAGGUGGUGAUGCCUUCUCGCGAUGCUGCUAUCUAUAACGGUGGUGUGGAGGCCGUUUCAACCUUACUGGGUGCUGUUGCCGUGUUUGCAGUUGGUUACAUAAAAAUAUCCUGGUCAACUUGGGGAGAAAUUGCACUGUCUCUGUUUUCUCUCCUGAUUGCUGCCACAGUAUAUAUCAUGGACACUGCAGGGACCAUCUGGGUGUGCUACGCAUCCUACGUGGUCUUCAGAAUCAUCUACAUGUUACUCAUCACUAUAGCAACUUUUCAGAUUGCGGCAAACCUCAGCAUGGAGCGCUACGCCCUAGUGUUUGGUGUAAACACCUUCAUUGCUCUCGCACUGCAGACUCUGCUCACUCUAAUUGUGGUAGAUGCCAGUGGCCUUGGCUUAGAAAUUACCACUCAGUUUCUGAUCUACGCCGGUUAUUUUGCACUCAUCGCUGUGGUUUUCCUGCUUAAUGGUGCAGUCAGUGUUAUGAAGAAAUAUAGAAAGCAGGAAGAUCCAGAAUCAAGUUCUCAAGUAACCACUUCAUAAUAUACUGCUGACGAGCUGCUGCUUCUAGCAAGAACUCUGCACAGCACUGUGCCUGGAUGUAUUUCAUUUUUGAAGAUGUGGACACAUAUUUAUGAAUGUGUAUUUCAUGGCUUCAGAGCAGCCGCUUGACUAUGUCAUGUGUUCCUGGAGUAACAUAAUACUGUUCAGAGGAGCCAGAAGUGAAGUUUAUUUUGUGGGUUAUUUAUGAGAGCUAAUUUAAGUCUGACUUUUUUCUGAUUCAAAAACAAACUUGACUUUGAAAACCAAGUAGUCAAGAGCACUCAAGCAGCACAUGCUGUUAUACAUAUGAUAGCAGGAUGCCAAAAAUCCUGGAAGACCUACCCGCGAUGUUCUGGGAGUGUGGACAAAGGUGGACCUUGACCUCCGGAUCAGUACUUAGGAUGGAGCCCUUGGACGGAACAGCUACCUGGAAAUUCUUGCCUGGGUCUUGUGCUUGACUGAUUAAGAAGCCAUAGGCCAGAGAAUGUGUCCAUAGGGAAAUUAGUCGUCUGCUUAAAGAUCUGUUUUUACCUCCAACUCUCGUAAUUAAUUCCCAGUUACAGUUUGAUGAUUCUUUACUCCCUGCCCUGAUUUUUUCUUUGCAUUUUGGUCUCCUUUCCUUAGUUAUAAGCCAUUUCAUACUUACCCAAAGUCAUUCCUCCACAGCCAUUUAAAUUUAAAAAAUAUCUAGCUAUGUCUAGUGGUAGAAAGGACUCCAGCAUUAAGCCAGAGGUCCUAGGCGGGAUGUGAAGUAGUCCCAGAUGGUAGGAACGCCUGGUUUAUAGUAGAAACAAUAUUUUAAAAAUCGUCCCUAGAGGAAAGCAUUCCCUUUUAAGCCCCUGCGCUGAUAGAGUUGUGCACAGUGUGGAACAGAAAAUCACAAAGAGGAUACCAUAAUCUUCAAUAAGUAGCCUCCUAGGAAGGGCCCUAAAAUCCCACCUCAUAACAUACAAUCAAAUGUUACUAAUUGAGCUUUAUUGUGGUUGGCAAAUAUUCUGAUUUCAUGGUUAUUUUAACAUUAUUGUGUGGUUUUAAAAGCAUUAUGUGGUCAUGGUAAGAAAUUUGGGAAAUGUAAAAAAGCAUAUGGAAUAAUUAUUACUCCUAAUAUUUGUCAACUCUAAUCCCCUGUGCAUGACUUUUGUCCUCUCACAACCCACAAGAAACCACAGCAGAGCAUAAGUAGUUACUAGGACUCUUAGUGGCAGAUCACUCUCAGAUCAAAUAAAGGUAUAAAAUAUUUACUAUUAGAAAUUAAUGUCAUUAAAAAUUAAAUACAUUAUUUUAAAAAUUACCAAAGACAUAAAUAAGCAACCAUGAGUAAGAAUCAGCAGAAACAACAACAGAUGAAGAGACCUAAUGGUUUCAGAUAUUGGAAUUAUCAGAUACAGAGUAUGAAAUGAAUAUCUAUAAAACGUUAAAUAUAAAAAAUGUUUAAAAAUGGGCAAGUAACAAGACUAACAAAAAUGAAAAGACUGGCUUGAUUUUCAAAGAACUGAAAAAUAUAUUUUAGAAAUUAAAAUAGAAAUGUUGAAGUUAAAAUUCAAUGGAUUAUGUCUCAUAAAUUGCUGAUGAGGGUGUAAAUUGGUACAACUCCUUUGAAGAGCAUUUUGCUGUUGUCCUUUAAAGUUAAAGAUAGGCAUAGUCUAUGACCCAGCAAUUCCACUCCUAGGUAUAUACCACAGAGCUGCACUUUCAAAUAUGGCAACUACUAGACACUUGGGACUGCAAGCAUACUCUGUUUUAUUGUGCUUUGCUUUAUUGUGCUUCACAGAUAAUGCAUUUUCUACUAAUUAUUACCCUCCACCAGCAAAAGAUUACAACUUGCUGAAGGCUCAGAUGAUGGUUAGCAUGUUUUAGCAAUGAAAUAUUUUUAAAUUAAGUGGUCUGGAACUUAAGCUGAAGUAUCUCCAAGGUAUGCCUGUAUUGAGUGAGUAUUAGAAAUGUGACUAUACAGGAGUGAAAAUUGAUCAACCAGAGCUACAAGCAACAAUUUCAAUGAAUCUUAUGAACAUAAUUUUGAGCAAAAGAACUAAGAUAUAAUAGAAUAUAUCAAUACAAUUCCACUUGUUCAAAAGGAGACAAACUAUAUUGUUUAAAUCUAUAUACAGAAGUGGUAAAAGUAUAAAACAAACACAUUAUUACUAUAAAAUUCUUUCAAAUAUUUACUUCUAAGGAAUGGAAGAGAGAUAUGAUUAAGAAGGGGCACACAUCCUUCUGGGGUACUUUUGUUUUAUUUCUUGACUUGGAAGAUGAUACAAGUGUGCUUCCUAUAUGAUUCUUCAUUAUACAAUACACUUAUGUUUUAUGUUUUUUUCUGUAUGUUCCUUAAAUUUCACACUAAAAACACUAAAAACUCAAUAACUAGGUUAAAUAGCACAUUAAAGACAGCUGAAAAGAGAAUUAGUGAAGUGGAAAAUAAAACUGAAGAAAUUACCUAGUAUGCAGUAAAGAGACAAUGCCUUUAAAAACGUAAAAAGAGGUUGAGAUAUAUUGUAGAAUAUUUUGUCUCCUCUGUUAUAUCUACUCUUUCCUUCUAAGGCUACAAUAUGACAGAAUUUUGCAGAACUGGUGAGAACAAGAACCCACAGAUACAGGAAUCAUAGUGCAUCACAAGAAAAAUGACUAAAAAAAUAAUAAAUUCACACCUAGACACACAGUAGUAAAAUUGCAAUUAACUUAGGACAAAGAGAAGAUCAUAAAAGCAACCAGAGAGAAAAGACAGAUCAUCCAUAAAAGAACACAAUUAGCUGACAGCCAGUUUCUCAAGAACACCAAUGGAGGCCAGAAGACAAUGUAAUGAAUGCUUCAAAUUACUGAGAGAAAAUAACUGUCUGCCUAGAACUGUGUACCGAGAACAAUGGUCUUUUAAAAACAAGAGUAAAGUAAAAAUAUUUACAGAUGAACAAAAAUGGAAAAACUUUACACCAACAACAGGUUAUCUCAGGAGAAAGGCACAAGACUCUAGUAGGAAGAUCCGAUAUGCAAGAAGCUAGGAUGAAGCUAGGAAAAGCUAGGGGUAAGCAUUUAUAUAAAUCUAAAUGAACAUUAACUUUAUUAAUUAAUAACGAUAAAACAUUUUGUGGUUUAUAUUUUAAAAUACUACACAUGGAGAGUAUAUAAAUUGGGCUGAUGAGGGAUGCUUAGAAAUAAAGCAUCCUAAAGUACUUACGUUAUUCAUGAGGAAUAUUAAGAUACAGAUUAAAUUAGAUUUUGUUAAAUUAGGUAUCAUAGUGAAGUUUAAAGAGCAGCAAAGUAUAAAAGUAGAGUGUAUAAUUUACCAAACAAUUGAGUGAAUAAACUGGAACAAAAACAAACCUAAUGGAUGAUUUUACCAGCAGUAAUCAUACAACCUGGCUUUGUGAAGGUUCCCAAAGUGUUGUGGCCAUAGGCACUCAGGCACCUGCCCUCCUCACCACAAACCACUGCCAAGAAGGGAUAGUAAAGAAAGAGCCCUAGAGGACAUUGGCAAGGCUGUCAUCUAACCCAGUUCCUGAAGAAGUUGAAACCAAACCAAAGAGGGCAAUAAGAAAGGGUCCAGCUUCCAGCAAAAAAGAAUUUACAAGUCAUGCCAAAAGGCAGAAAAAAUACAGAGACAGAAAAAGCCUCACAAUUGGACUCAGAUUGACACAGGAAUUGGAAUAAGUAAACUGAGAAUUUAACUAUCAUCAAUAUGUUAAGGGCUCUUGUGGAAAGUAUAAGACAACAUGCAUGAACAGAUGAGUAAUGUAAGCAGAGAUAUGGAAACUCUAAGAAAGAAUCAAAAGGAAAUGCUGGAAAUCAAAAGCACUGUGACAGAAAUGAAGAACGCCUUUGACAGGAUCAUCAGUACACUUGACAUGGCAGAAGAAAGAACCAGUAAGUUCGAAGACCAGCCAAUGGAAACUUCCCAAAAUUAAAUGCAAAGUGAAAAAAAGAAAAACAUGCAAGGACUGUGGGACGAUUAAGGGUGUACUAUACAUGUAACUGGAAUACUAAAAAGAGAAGGAGGAAAGAAUGGAGCAGAAGAAAGACUUGACGUACUAACGGCCCAAGAACUUCCCUGAACUAAUGACAGACGGCAAACCAAAGAUCCAGAAGUCUCAGCAGGAUAAAUAUAUAAAAAAAAAUCUACACCUGGGCACACCAUAAUGAAACUGCAAAAAACUAAAGACAAACAAAACUUGAAAGAAGCCAGAAUUUGGAAAAAACUUACCUGUAGGGGAAAAAAGAUAGGAAUUAUAGCAGAUUCUUGUCAGAAACCACGUAAGCAAGAGGAGAGUGGAGUGAAAUAUUUAAAAUAUUGAAAGAAAAAACCCAUCAACCUAGAAUUCUAUAUCCAGCAAAAUUAUCCUUCACAAGUAAAGGAUAAAGACUUUCUCAGAAAAGCAAAACCUGAGAGAAUUCAUUACAAGCAAGAAAUGUUAAACUGUUCAGUCCUGAAAGAAAUGCUAAUAGAAGUUCUUCAGGGAGAAGGAAAAUGAUAUAGGUCAGAAGCUUAGAGCUACACAAAGGAAAGAAGAAUGUCAGAGAAGGAAUGAAUGAAGUGAAGCAUUGAUUACAGGAUCCCUAAUCACGUGCUGAGGAAGCUAGAACCUCACAGCCCGAGGUCCCUUGAAACUUCUGCCUCGUGGGGGCUGCACACACACGCAAAAGCACUGAACACACGAAACAACUGCUGAACAAGUGAACGUAAUUAUGCUGUAAAUCUUGUCUUACUUAGAUGGUUCAUUUUAAGGAGUAUAUUGCUGGCAUACAAGCUAGAAGUGGAAUUGUCUGCUGCUAAGGGUCACAAGCAAACUCAAGCCCUCCAGCCUUUAGUGUGACACACUUGUAAUAGAAAAUUAUAGAAAGAAUGUCUUGAUUUUCUUGAUAGUUGCUAUAUUUUCAUUAUAACUAUAUCUAGAUAUGAGGUAAAUAUGAUAUGUAAUAUAGAUGCAUACUGAUAGAUGUUAUGUGUCAAAUCCAUACAUAACUAUAAUAAAAGUAUCGAUAGUCAUCUCAAUAACGCA